RNAcentral lists this ribosomal RNA (491 nucleotides) under uncultured bacterium. RNAcentral describes it as "partial 16S ribosomal RNA". It matches the Rfam family "Bacterial small subunit ribosomal RNA", at positions 29 to 507 of the family's 1533-position model. The record is from RNAcentral.
AGUGAACGCUGGCGGUAGGCCUAACACAUGCAAGUCGAACGGCAGCACAGUAAGAGCUUGCUCUUACGGGUGGCGAGUGGCGGACGGGUGAGGAAUACAUCGGAAUCUACUUUUUCGUGGGGAUAACGUAGGGAAACUUACGCUAAUACCGCAUACGACCUACGGGUGAAAGCAGGUGAUCUUCGUACCUUUCUCGAUUUAAUGAGCCGAUGUCGGAUUAGCUAGUUGGCGGGGUAAAGGCCCACCAAGGCGACGAUCCGUAGCUGGUCUGAGAGGAUGAUCAGCAACACUGGAACUGAGACACGGUCCAGACUCCUACGGGAGGCAGCAGUGGGGAAUAUUGGACAAUGGGCGCAAGCCUGAUCCAGCCAUACCGCGUGGGUGAAGAAGGCCUUCGGGUUGUAAAGCCCUUUUGUUGGGAAAGAAAAGCAGCAGGUUAAUACCCCGCUGUUCUGACGGUACCCAAAGAAUAAGCACCGGCUAACUUCGUG